This 446-nucleotide ribosomal RNA is filed under the name uncultured bacterium. RNAcentral's name for it is "partial 16S ribosomal RNA". It matches the Rfam family "Bacterial small subunit ribosomal RNA", at positions 338 to 795 of the family's 1533-position model. The record is from RNAcentral.
CCUACGGGUGGCAGCAGUCGAGAAUCAUUCACAAUGGGGGAAACCCUGAUGGUGCGACGCCGCGUGGGGGAAUGAAGGUCUUCGGAUUGUAAACCCCUGUCAUGUGGGAGCAAAUUAAAAAGAUAGUACCACAAGAGGAAGAGACGGCUAACUCUGUGCCAGCAGCCGCGGUAAUACAGAGGUCUCAAGCGUUGUUCGGAAUCACUGGGCGUAAGGCGUGCGUAGGCUGUUUCGUAAGGCGUGUGUGAAAGGCGCGGGCUCAACCCGCGGACGGCACAUGAUACUGCGAGACUAGAGUAAUGGAGGGGGAACCGGAAUUCUCGGUGUAGCAGUGAAAUGCGUAGAUAUCGAGAGGAACACUCGUGGCGAAGGCGGGUUCCUGGACAUUAACUGACGCUGAGGCACGAAGGCCAGGGGAGCGAAAGGGAUUAGAUACCCGUGUAGUC